AUUAUUUUCCCCAUUUUAAAAAAAGAGGAAACUGAGCCAUAGAGGUGAAAUAACUGUCUAAGGUCACACAGGUAAUUUAUAGAACAGGGAUUGAAUCUAGGCAGUCCACCAUACUACCAUUCAGAUGAGCAGAUUGUGACAUCAUUCUUCUAUGAAAAUGCAGAGGUCCUACCUCAUCCCAGCUCUGCUCCCAUGGGGGCCCCAGGCCUGCUUCACUCAGAAAACUGAAAUCCACCAGGCUUAAUUAUGGACAUUUCAAAAUCUUAAAAAUCAGGAUUUCAAAGCAGUUAUUGAAUCUAAUUCAGAGACAGUCCUUCCUUUAAUCUCCAGUUCCAGGGACAGUGAUUACCAAGAACAAUUCUCUGACUUUUGUCCAUUUUCUUGCAACAGAUUGAGUCUAAUGAAUAAUAUACAUUUUUAUAGGGUCCAAUAGCUUUUAAAUUGCUUCCACAUGAUUAAAUUUUCAUAUAUGCAAGCUGUUGGCAUAAUAACUGGCUCUGGCUAGGUACCUGGCAUGUUUUCGACUGAAUUGUAUGUAGAUAUUUUUUUCAAUGAUAUUUUGUCCAGCAGUGACCUAUAUUCCAAAAUUUUCAUGUGAGACUGUAUCCUUAAGAAAUAAGUGAGCCCCCAUUUACUCAUCCGGUGCUAUGACACGUUUUUAAGUUUCUUAGUCUAUCUCUACAGCAGCUGAGAAUUGGAAGACAUGACAAUCGACAAGCCAGUUGAGAGAAAAAGCAGUUUCCCAAAUCAACACAGCCACUUUAGAGCUUCUCUUGAAAUGUGGUGUGUGGUACUGUAACUGAAUUCCUGGAGUUCUUGUCCUGUCUUAUGAACCAAUCAAAGUAAGACAGAUGCCAACUGCAAGGGAAACAAAGUGUCAAUUUAUUGUCUGUGCAGACAAGGAGCAACGUGUGGCCUAGCGGCCAAAAGACCACACACUCCCAGCCCCAGGGGAUCGGGGACCUUUUAUGUCCUGGAGUCCCCAGGGGUCAGGGAUUGGCGCCUGAAACCCUACACCCUGCGCCCUCCCAUGCCCAAAUUUGGAGAUCCAGGUGCUGAGUCAUUCUUCAUAGGAAGCUGGCAUUAUAGAACCUCUUGCUUUGCAAAGGGGCUCCGGUGGUGCUGUCUGCUGGAGAAUAUAUCCCCCUCCAGCGAUGCCCAGAUCUGGGGUCAGUGUGGAUGUUAUUCAUUUCCCACUUUUGUGUCGUUUUACUGGAGUCGCAUUUGGAGAUGAAGACUUGAUGGAGGACUUCUGAGCGAUCUAAGCACUUUCCUGAAGGAAUGACAACGGAGGAUCUGGGAUACAGGAUCUGAGAAGACCCCUUUUUCCCACCCAAAAGACUGCUGGUAUUCACCUGGAGAGGUGCAGGUCAGUUCUAGCUUUGCUUACUUCUUAUAGUUCUCACAUUUCUAAACAAAUGUAGAGUGUGAAGUGUCGCAGAGAGACCUUGGUUUAAUGGUUUAUUAGCUACCUGACUGGAGGAAAACGACCUAAUUUUCUAAGCCUCAGUAUCUUCAGUAAAAUGGAGCUAAGAAUGUCUGUCUUGCAGGGUUGUUGUGAGGAUUAAAUCAGCUAGCAUGUGGAAAGUGUUUAUGGUAGGCCUUCACCUCAAGUCUUCCGAUGAUUCAGUUCUCCACAGUUCUUCCUUUGACCCGUGCCGUUUACCACAGGGAUAUGUCUGAUUUUCCUAGAUUCUGAAAUAGUCAGAAUUCUGGACUGGAAGCAGGGCAGACUUCUGGCACUAGGAGAUCAUUGCUGCCAUCUAUUGUUUCAGACAUGUCUGGAAAUUUAAUGGUGGUCACCAUGUUUCCAGGGGAUAGCUGUCUAUUUGUAAUCUUUAAACUUUCUAUAGGAAUCCAAAGACUCAACACAACCAACAGCUGGACUCAUUACAAAGGUAAUAAUUUAGAAAGGCAUAACAAGUCAGUACGUUUAAUUUCAGAGCGUGCUUCUUCAUAUCUUUAAAAUUCUGACCCCAGUUUAAAGGGAGCAAUUGAUAUUACCUAUAGAAAAAGUUUUUGGAGAUAAAGUGUCUUCGAUAACCCAUCCACGAGGUGAUUGCAGAUGGAGGCAUCCUACGCUUAUCCCAAAUGCCUGAGUGCCCACGUGUGAAUCAGCCCAAAGUUUCAGUCUAGCUCCACCCAAGGAAACAACUCGCUAAGUGAUAAUACCUGAAAGGCAAUACUUGAUGUACUAAAUGGAACUGGAAUCAGAAGAAUGGGAAUAUUAUUGAUCCUUCUAGGAGGAGGUUUACUUUUCAACCAGGAAAGAAAAAAAAAAAGCAAGGUAAUGUUACCUGUCCUUAGAU
Molecule: long non-coding RNA, 2309 nt
Organism: Trichechus manatus latirostris (Florida manatee)
Lineage: Eukaryota; Metazoa; Chordata; Mammalia; Sirenia; Trichechidae
Exons: 3
Source: RefSeq, a predicted model, not a curated record